ACAACCCAANGGAGGCAUCUCCUGCGGGUGGAAAGAACUUCGGUCGAGGAUGGACUCGCGGCCUAUCAGCUUGUUGGUGAGGUAAUGGCUCACCAAGGCGACGACGGGUAGCCGGCCUGAGAGGGUGACCGGCCACACUGGGACUGAGACACGGCCCAGACUCCUACGGGAGGCAGCAGUGGGGAAUAUUGCACAAUGGGCGCAAGCCUGAUGCAGCAACGCCGCGUGAGGGACGACGGCCUUCGGGUUGUAAACCUCUUUUAGCAGGGAAGAAGCGAAAGUGACGGUACCUGCAGAAAAAGCACCGGCUAACUACGUGCCAGCAGCCGCGGUAAUACGUAGGGUGCAAGCGUUGUCCGGAAUUAUUGGGCGUAAAGAGCUCGUAGGCGGUUUGUCGCGUCUGCUGUGAAAACGCGAGGCUCAACCUCGCGCCUGCAGUGGGUACGGGCAGACUGGAGUGUGGUAGGGGAGAUUGGAAUUCCUGGUGUAGCGGUGGAAUGCGCAGAUAUCAGGAGGAACACCGAUGGCGAAGGCAGAUCUCUGGGGCCAUUACUGACGGCUGANGAGCGAAAGCGUGGGGGAGCGAACAGGANUAGAAACCCCNGGNAAGUCC
RNAcentral lists this ribosomal RNA (613 nucleotides) under bacterium. RNAcentral's name for it is "bacterial SSU rRNA". It matches the Rfam family "Bacterial small subunit ribosomal RNA", at positions 173 to 796 of the family's 1533-position model. The record is from RNAcentral.